Apis cerana (Asiatic honeybee) is the source of this 1035-nucleotide long non-coding RNA. RefSeq lists it as uncharacterized. The record is from RefSeq and is a predicted model, not a curated record. NCBI's taxonomy places the organism in Eukaryota, Metazoa, Arthropoda, Insecta, Hymenoptera, Apidae.
UGUUUGGAGACUCGGAAUCAAAAUUUUCAAACGAUUGUAUAAAGAGAAUUAAUGUAAUGAAGAAUAAAAUUACUUCGAUAAUUUAUUAUUCGAAAUGGAAUAGCUAUAGUGCCAAAGAUUAUAUGAAAAUCAGUUAUAACAGCGAACUACGUUUGAGGAAGCUGGUAGAGGGAUUGCAAGUGGAACGAGAUUAACUGUGGAAAACGAGGGAUGUUCGAGAGGAUCAACGUCGACUAGAACUUCAGUUGCACCAUGCAGGCGGAAACGACACCCCACGUAAAGCGGAAGUUUGUCAACAAUCUUCCACCCCUGCCACUCCUAGACAAUAUAGCUAGGAAUAGGCGGUAAUCUCGAAAUCACGAGCAACGGGAAACGAGAUUACGUGCCCCCUUUAAAACUACCCAACGCAGGGGAAAAGUUCGUAACUAACCGAGAGACGACACGGCUUAAAAGUUUACACCCCCGCUACCGGAAAAUUCGGAGACUGGAAUCCCUCGUUCGCCGGCUUUUUGAAAAGAUCGUUAUUAUAAGCUUUGGCUGGCUGAAAGAUUCUCCAUCUUUUUUUCUCUUCUAAUAUACGAAAUUUUAUCACUUUGAGAACUUUUAAAACUCUCCAGAUUAAUGAUCUUUCUUAAAUAUUUGAAGACGUUCGGUGGUUCUUGUUGUUCUUCGUUUUCAAUCUUGUUGAAUAUCACUCGUUCGAUGCAAAUUGUUAAACGUUAAUACUUGAGAAACGUCGUCACUUUUUUGUAACGAAGGAAGAAAGAACCGUAGGAAAGGUCGCGAUGCCUGCUGGCUGGAAAACUCGCGAACUGCUACUGGUGAAUGGUAUCGUUGAGCGAAUGGUCACCAUUGGGCCACCCUUCCCCGUAGAAAGAGGAGUAGCCAUGAACGUGAUGGAUUCCACAGUUCGAAGGGGCCCGCGUUCCUUGUCCGCGGUGUUGCGAACUUCAAGGCGUUUUUCAAAGAAUGGUAAAAUAUUUUUAAAAAGAAAACUAUUUUGUUCAAUUCAAUAAAAAAUUCUUAGAAACUUGA